AGAGAGAGACAUGCGCGCAUAUCAAUAAGCGGAGGAAAAGAAACUAACUAGGAUUCCCUCAGUAACGGCGAGUGAAGCGGGAAGAGCUCAAAUUUGAAAUCUUCAAGGUUCUACCUUGAUGAAUUGUAGUUUAAAGAAGUGUUUUCUGUGGAGUUUUGGUAAAAGUUCUUUGGAAUAGGACAUCAUAGAGGGUGAGAAUCCCGUAUUUGACCAUUAUUUUCAACUGUGUGAUACACUUUCAAAGAGUCGGAUUGUUUGGGAAUGCAGUCCAAAAUGGGUGGUAAAUUUCAUCUAAAGCUAAAUAUUGGCGAGAGACCGAUAGCGAACAAGUACCGUGAGGGAAAGAUGAAAAGAACUUUGAAAAGAGAGUUAAACAGUACGUGAAAUUGUCAAAAGGGAAGCGUUUGACACCAGUGUUGCUUUUCUCGAAAAUCAAUUAAAAAUGGUAGGAUUUUGUGUUGUAUUGACUUUAUCAGCUUUCUGCACUUUUUUCCUAUCUUUUUUAAUGCACUUUUCGUUUAACAAGUCAACAUCAAUUUCUUUUGUUGUAAAAGAGUCAUUGGAAGGUGGCUUUCUUUUCGGAGAAAGUGUCUAUAGCCUUUGGACUUCUGCAAUCGGAGAGAUUGAGGUCUGCAGCGUAGAUCCUUCGGGGUUAGAUACAUUUGUGCUAAGCUAUAGCCUUUCAUAGACAACUUGUUGACUAUGAUCAGUCAUGUAGCUUACUCGCUUAUGUCUAUUUUACCUACGCUUAGGAUGUUGACAGCAGUAUAGACUG
This 775-nucleotide ribosomal RNA is filed under the name uncultured Neocallimastigales. Its description in RNAcentral is "partial large subunit ribosomal RNA". It matches the Rfam family "Eukaryotic large subunit ribosomal RNA", at positions 23 to 636 of the family's 3401-position model. Lineage: Eukaryota; Fungi; Neocallimastigomycota; Neocallimastigomycetes; Neocallimastigales. The record is from RNAcentral.